This 20-nucleotide microRNA is filed under the name Chrysemys picta bellii (western painted turtle). RNAcentral's name for it is "Cpi-Mir-9597_5p* (star (passenger))". Lineage: Eukaryota; Metazoa; Chordata; Testudines; Emydidae. The record is from RNAcentral.
AGAUCCUAAGACGUAUUUAG